This 253-nucleotide ribosomal RNA is filed under the name uncultured bacterium. Its description in RNAcentral is "partial 16S ribosomal RNA". It matches the Rfam family "Bacterial small subunit ribosomal RNA", at positions 524 to 776 of the family's 1533-position model. The record is from RNAcentral.
UACGUAGGGUGCAAGCGUUAAUCGGAAUUACUGGGCGUAAAGCGUGCGCAGGCGGUGAUGUAAGACAGAUGUGAAAUCCCCGGGCUCAACCUGGGAACUGCAUUUGUGACUGCAUCGCUGGAGUGCGGCAGAGGGGGAUGGAAUUCCGCGUGUAGCAGUGAAAUGCGUAGAUAUGCGGAGGAACACCGAUGGCGAAGGCAAUCCCCUGGGCCUGCACUGACGCUGAGGAGCGAAAGCGUGGGGAGCAAACAGG